AAUACUCUAACUUGUUUUUAAAUGGGAGCAGAUGCCUCUGUUUCUUGAGCUGACUUCCAGAUUCUGAGAAAUAAAUGAAGAGUGGAGGCUUGUUUUGGUAGAGGCUGAGAAAAGGAGUUGGCCAUAUUUGCCCUUCAGAACUUCGUGUCAUCCCCCAGCUCCCCAACGGCAGGGCCACAUUCUUUCACAGGACGGAGUUGGGGCAGAUUAUGGCUUCCUCUGGAUUGGAUUUCCCUUGGCUUCCCUGAGGGCAAUCCCCCGAGGAAGCACAUCCUGGAGCCAAACUCACCCAAUGAACCACAGCAACAGCUCCUAGGAGAAUGAAGAGUGUGAAUGGAUGGCCUUUUCAAAAUGAUGAGCCUGGAAGAGUUACAGACUCUGGCCCGAAAGAACCAAAGUUGAAGGUAGAGAUGUUUUAAGGAUGAGCAGAGCAGAACAACUUAGCAGUGGGAUGUUAAAGGCAACAUGAAUCAAGAAAACAGAUACUGGCUCCCCAAACCCAUGAUGAAGAAAGAAGCUGGAAGAACUCUCAGAAGAGUUUUCAAGACCAUGAGUGCCCUUGCCAAAACCCAAUGGAAAAGUCUCUAGAGAAACAGAGGUCAUAGAAGUUUAAAGGCUCAAUAAAAUUCCAUGAAGCAUCAACCUGAAGAAUAACAGCCAUGCAAAAAAAGCUCAUCAUCACUGGUCAUUAGAGAAAUGCAAAUUAAAACCACAAUGAGAUACCAUCUUAUGACAGAAUGGUGAUUAUUAAAAAGUCAGGAAACAACAGAUGCUGGUGAAGCUGUGGAGAAAUAACAACACUUUUACACUGCCAUUGUGGAAGACAGUGUGGCGAUUCCUCAAGGAUCUAGAACCAGAAAUACCAUUUGACUCAGCAAUCCCAUUACUGGGUAUAUACCCAAAGGAUUAUAAAUCAUUCUACUAUAAAGACACAUGCACAUGUAUGUUUAUUGCAGCACAAUUUACAAUAGCAAAGACUUGGAAUCAACCCAAAUGCCCAUCAAUGAUAGACUGGAUAAAUAAAAUGUGGCACAUAUAAAUCAUGGAAUACCAUGCAGCCAUAAAAAAGAAUGAGUUCAUGUCCUUUGCAGGGACAUGGUUGAGGGUGGAAACCAUCAUUCUCAGCAAACUAGCACAGGAACAGAAAACCAAACACUGCAUGUUCUCAUUCAUAAGUGGGAGUAGAACAGUGAGAACACAUGGACACAGGGAGGGGAACGUCACACACUGGGGCCUGUUGGUGGGUUGAGGGCAAGGGGAGGGAGAGCAUUAGGACAAAUACCUAAUGUAUGUGGGGCUUGAAACCUAGAUGAUGGGUUGAUAGAUACAGCAAACCACCAUGGCACAUGUAUCAAAUAAGCACAUGUACCUAUGUAACAAACCUGCACAUUCUGCACAUGUAUCCCAGAACUUAAAGUAAAAUAAAAUAAAA
This 1432-nucleotide long non-coding RNA is filed under the name Homo sapiens (human). RNAcentral's name for it is "HSALNT0336349". The record is from RNAcentral. Lineage: Eukaryota; Metazoa; Chordata; Mammalia; Primates; Hominidae.